GAAUGCUACGGUGAAUACGUUCCCGGGCCUUGUACACACCGCCCGUCACACCAUGGGAGUGGGUUGCAAAAGAAGUAGGUAGCUUAACCUUCGGGAGGGCGCUUACCACUUUGUGAUUCAUGACUGGGGUGAAGUCGUAACAAGGUAACCGUAGGGGAACCUGCGGUUGGAUCACCUCCUUACCUUAAAGAA
RNAcentral lists this ribosomal RNA (192 nucleotides) under Klebsiella pneumoniae. RNAcentral describes it as "partial 16S ribosomal RNA". It matches the Rfam family "Bacterial small subunit ribosomal RNA", at positions 1352 to 1533 of the family's 1533-position model. Lineage: Bacteria; Pseudomonadati; Pseudomonadota; Gammaproteobacteria; Enterobacterales; Enterobacteriaceae. The record is from RNAcentral.